GAUGAACACUGACGGCGUGCCUAAUACAUGCAAGUCGAGCGAACAGACGAGGAGCUUGCUCCUCUGACGUUAGCGGCGGACGGGUGAGUAACACGUGGAUAACCUACCUAUAAGACUGGGAUAACUUCGGGAAACCGGAGCUAAUACCGGAUAAUAUAUUGAACCGCAUGGUUCAAUAGUGAAAGACGGUUUUGCUGUCACUUAUAGAUGGAUCCGCGCCGCAUUAGCUAGUUGGUAAGGUAACGGCUUACCAAGGCGACGAUGCGUAGCCGACCUGAGAGGGUGAUCGGCCACACUGGAACUGAGACACGGUCCAGACUCCCACGGGAGGCAGCAGUAGGGAAUCUUCCGCAAUGGGCGAAAGCCUGACGGAGCAACGCCGCGUGAGUGAUGAAGGUCUUCGGAUCGUAAAACUCUGUUAUUAGGGAAGAACAAAUGUGUAAGUAACUAUGCACGUCUUGACGGUACCUAAUCAGAAAGCCACGGCUAACUACGUG
Molecule: ribosomal RNA, 497 nt
Filed under: uncultured bacterium
Lineage: Bacteria
Description: partial 16S ribosomal RNA
Rfam family: Bacterial small subunit ribosomal RNA
Source: RNAcentral